ACCGCCUUUGCAAGGUUUGCGAUUGGGCAGUGGUGAGGGAGAGGUGAGCAUUCAGGCUCAAGAGGAGGUGAACAAUUUCCACCCUCUGCAGCUCCUCCCCCACUCUCCUCCCCAGCCCCUGGCGCUCCUGGCCCAGCUCCCACUGCCUCACGUCCAUGGCGCAAUAUCACUGAGCUACAGGUGGGACAUGUGAACAGACACGAAAUUAUCUACUGCUCCCUCUCCCUCCUUCUCGCUUGAUAUUUCCCUAAACCAGCAUCAGGGAAGGGAGCCUCAGGGACCUGAAAAAGUGUUCUUGGAAAUGGCAGUUCUUUUUAUAAGACAGACAUCAGAGUGUUUAUAGAUCUCUUACUGUUGAAAUUGGACAUUCAGUUUCCUCCAUGUGUUGCUUGUGUUUUGUUAUUCCUGGAAAUUUAGUGUGAGCUCGGCAGAGAGGAGAGAAACAGAGGCUGGAGCAGUGAGAUGGAAGCAGGUUCAUCGACCAACAGCGUGGCUGGGAGCACCGAGCAGAGAGAGCUCAGGCUCCCCGCUCCUGGGGCAAGGGCUUUUUUAUAGCUAGGUUUCCUGUGAUAGGUCACCUAGUCUCUGGGAGAAACAAGAAGGGGGCUUGGGAAACAGAGAAGGAGGAUUUAGGUCCUUACGUGUGAAUUUUAACAGUCCUUUCGGCUCUGUUUACUUUGAGGUUGAACAGCUCCUUAAAUUAUCUUGGUCCUGGGACCUUGAUCCGUGCUGGCGUCUGUGUUUCCUGUUGGUUUGGUCAGCUGACAUCGCGUCUGGAGCCUGGGCGGGAUCUUGUAAUAAUGCAGACCCUCGGCCUUGAGAAGUCUUGAAGUCUUCACGUUCACAGUUGGAAUCCUGCUGGAGGAUAAGAAAUCCAUGUCCACGGCCUCUGCCUUCCCACCUAUCUCAUUUGAGGCUCACAGCUGUGAGUGAACCCACCUGAGAACAGCUGCCCGACUGGAAGCCCUGAGGUUCCAGCUUGCGACCCCAAGACGCCAGCCGUACAGAG
This is a long non-coding RNA of Phacochoerus africanus (Common warthog), 1009 nucleotides long. RefSeq lists it as uncharacterized. The record is from RefSeq and is a predicted model, not a curated record. NCBI's taxonomy places the organism in Eukaryota, Metazoa, Chordata, Mammalia, Artiodactyla, Suidae. The transcript is spliced from 3 exons.